GUAAAACAAGCUCCCUUUUCUUGCUGAAGAGUUUCUUGUAAGUUAAGAUAUUUGCACUAGAAGCUAGACUAAAACUACUUGGUCAGAUUUUGUGUUUUUGCAGUGAGGGAGGAGUUUUGUUUGUAUUGUCCAAAAAGACAAAAAAUAAAAACUAGCAUUACUGAAUAAAUUAUUUUAAGAGUAAUUAUUGAUUCCAAACAAGCUCCCGUAUCUUUCUGAAAAUGUACUUGUAUGUUAGUUUUGUCUCAUUUCAAGUGCAGAGAGAUAAUUACACUAGAAAUAUUUUGUGUUUUUGCAGCGUGGACGCAAAUCGAAACGGGAAAUUUACAGUAAAUUCCCCCAAAUUUGCAGGAAGAGCUGAGUGAGUGACAGCAGCUCACAUGUGGAGGCGGUGGGGUUUGGCCUUCGAUUCAGGGGGAAAAGCUUUUGGUUUGGCCUGAGCUGAGGGAAGUUUUUGGACCUCCCACCCAAAUGGGGCUUUACUUCUGGAAAUCUCAUUGCUGUUUAUUUGAAUUACAGAGGCUGAGAUGAGAAAAGGAGGCCUAAUGAAGUCCAGGUUGUCGAGCAUGUGCAAACCAUCACUAAAGGUCUGCAGAAAGCUGCAGAAGGCUUGCUGGAUUAGUGCACGCUUCCCCCCUCGCCGUCCUUUCAAUCUGGCAACGCUGGACUUUUAAAUUUCGGGAGGACAUGUGCUUUCUGUUGUAAACUCACAUUCCUUACAGGCUUACUGUGUCGCUAAAAUCUCCAUUAUCCCUUAUUGUUAUCAGUCAUCGUAAAAUCACAUACGCAUCAGGAAUAAAACUGCCUUUUUUCUUUUUUUUUUUACGUUUUUAUAAAUAUAAACUUUUAUUGCAGUACGUAGAUUUAGAAAAAUACAUUCACAUAAUUUCAGAUAACAAACAUAAUUCAAGCUAAGAUAAAAAACAAACAAAAAACAACAAAAAAAGACUUUUUGCUCAUAAUUUUUGGUUUAUACCAUUAAAGCACUGAGGAAACUUUCACUGAAAGUUCUGCUCAGACAUCCUGAAGACGGGAAGGCAUGAAAACGUGAUGAGUUGGCUGUAGAGCGGAAAUGUGUUGAUGUAAGAACCUCGGGUCCUGUAUGGAAAACUGUUGGACAAAUGGCCUCAUGCUUCCAUGAACAGGUUAGAAUGAGCUAAAUCAAAACAUGUCUGUCACAUUUUAUGCACAAAAUCAUUCUUAGAUGAUGAGAUUUUAGUCAAUUUUGAGUUUCUAUAAGAAUGAGCUGUUUUAGGGUCUCUGUCAUUUUAAAUCCAAACAAGCUGCUGCUGCCCACGCCCCCAACUCAACGUUCACACUCGCACAUGAAAAUGGCUGCCAACAGAAGCGCCGUUAUACAACCGUACAUCUUUGAAGAGCAGAAGUGGAGCCUGCUGCGUAGUCUACAAGAAUGCAGGAAGUGGUUUCUGAAUGGUAAAUCAAUAACAAAGCACUUGUUUUUUCUUCUAGCAGCCAUUGUGCAGCGGAUACAGUGGUAAAACCAGCUGACCAAACAUGCUGGAGCUCCACAUGGGUGGCUAGGUAACAGGCUUGACUUUGCUUGGGUUGCUAGAAGCAGUGGAGACCCAAAUGGAAGCAUAAAAACGACCAAAAUGUGAAUUUUGCAUAAUAGGUCCCCUUUAAGGAAACCUUCAGGCAGAGGCUGCAGACCUCUGAAGCUCAUUUCUGCUCCACUUUGACUGAAUCCCUCACAGAAAAUGUUAAAAGGCACUCGUAUUAAUGAAAUAGUUUGAUGCUGUGCAAAGAUAAAGGAUUUCAAUCAUUUUUUAAUCCUGAAGCCGUUUCAGCCUGGCUUUAUUUUGAAGCCAGUUAAACCCCUCAGGGUUCUACAUAUUCAGGAGUUUUCCAAACUCAGCUUUUUAUGUUCAUUUUAAAAUAUAAAACACAAAAGAGUCACUUUGGAUUUACUUUCCACAGUGGAUAAGCUUUGAAUACGGAAACAAAGACACAAUGAAAGAAAGAAGAAAGGAGACAUUGAAGGAAGAAUGAAGGAUACAAGGGUGGAAGAAAAGGAAAGAAAACAUUAAAGAAACCAAUAAAAGGUGCAAGGAAGUAAAAAAGACACAAAUGAUGGAAGGAGAAAGGAAAGAAGGAAGGAAGAAUGUAGAAUGGAUGGAAAACACAAAAAAUAUCGGUGAAGAAUGCAAGGAAAUAAAGAAAGUUACUUAGGAGACAAGUAAGGAAGGGAGAAGGACACAAGCAAGGAAGGAAAACAAUGAAGAAAAUAACAGAAGGACACCAAGGAUAGAGUAACUUAAGAAACAAGGGAGCAACAAAGGAAGGAAAGCAGACAAAGAAGGAAUAAUUAAAGACUCAAGGAUGGAAGAAAACAGGAACGAUGCCAAUGAAAGACAACAAAAUAAAGAAAGGACACAACGGAGGAUGUUAGGUAGAAGAUAAGGAAGGAAAGAAAGAUGUAGGACACAAAGAUGAAAGAAAAUAUGAAAAAUAUCAAUGAAGGAUGCUGGGAAAUAAAGAAAGGACAGAAUAAAGGAAGUUAGG
This is a long non-coding RNA of Gambusia affinis (western mosquitofish), 2523 nucleotides long. RefSeq lists it as uncharacterized. The record is from RefSeq and is a predicted model, not a curated record. The transcript has 2 exons. Lineage: Eukaryota; Metazoa; Chordata; Actinopteri; Cyprinodontiformes; Poeciliidae.